RNAcentral lists this unclassified non-coding RNA (3551 nucleotides) under Aphidius gifuensis. RNAcentral describes it as "protein tweety-like, transcript variant X5". The record is from RNAcentral. Lineage: Eukaryota; Metazoa; Arthropoda; Insecta; Hymenoptera; Braconidae.
UCAACCGGCCAGUCGAGCUCCGGGCUCCAAAGUCUUUUUACCUCAAGUGUUUAUAUUUUUUAUUUUACAUUUGUGUGUAUAUUAUUAACAAGUAAAGGAUUUUUUUAUUUUCAACUGAAAAUUCAAGAUAGCAUGUCUUGACAAGUUAAUGAAUCUUCAAAACGGAGACACGGAAGUUAAGGGUUUACCAAAAUGGCGCGUGAUAAGGAUCUUCCGCGAAAUUACACGGUAACAAAUGUUGCUAAAAUCUUCCAUAAUUUUCCACAUGUUAAUGUGUCUCUACACUCAGUCAACAAUACCUUCAAUCCUCAUUCAGAGAUUUAUCUCGAGUCUUUGGGUAUACUAGCAAGCCUGCCAGCAGUAUGGCUAAUUUUAACACUUCUGGUACUGUUAUUGUAUUUGGUAACAAGAUGUUGUGAUAGAAAACCACGUCCAAGAAGAUCAAUAACAUUAUUAAAAUGUUUAUUAGCAAUAUUAGCAGUAAUAUGCUCAGCAGUUAUUGCAAUUGGUUUAUGGGGUAAUGAUGAUGUACACAAUGGUAUCAUAAAAUUUCUUGAAUCAGCUAAAAAUAUUGAAACAAGUAUAACAUCAAUUAAAAAUCGUACAAAUAUCAUUGAAUUAACAUUAAAAAAAAAUUUAGAACCAGGUAUAACAUCAAUGCGUGAUGAAUUUGAUAAUCCAGUUGGAAAUAAAACAGCAUUAGAUUAUUUAUUAAAAACAUGGGAAAAUAUGUCAUACAAUACAAGUAUUGUACUAAAUAAAAGUAUGGAAAUACGUAAACCAUUAAAUGGUAUUGAUUUAAAAUAUGCAAUUAAUAUUGGUAAUAAAAUUGAAUUUUAUAGAUAUCCAUUGACAAUGGGUAUACUAAGUGGUUUACUAAUAUUAUGUGUAAUUCUGCUGGUCGGAGUUGCACGUCAUUCAAGAUGUGCAUUAAUAACAUUUUCAGUAUUUGGUUUAUUUGCUGUUAUAAUAUCAUGGUUAAUGUCAUCCAUGUAUUUAUCAAUAUCAGUUGCACUUGGUGAUUUAUGUAUAUCACCAAAUAAUUAUUUAACAAAUAAUUUACCAUCAACAUUGUCAUCUGAGGUAUUAAAUUAUUAUACAAAUUGUGAAAAUAUGAGAAAUAAUCCAUUUACACAACGUUUAAGAGAAGGACAAGCAGCUGCUGUUAAUAUGAGAACAAGUCUUCUUACUGCUGAACGUAUUGCACUUGAUUUAUUUAAAGAUCGUCAACUUGGAACAAAGUUAAAUAGUUUAAGAACAGAUGUUAAUAAAAUUAAUGUUGAUAUAUCUGGUUUAACAGCAUUAUUAGAUUGUAAUCCAUUACAUAUACAAUAUAUACUUGCUGUUAAUAAUAUUUGUGACACUGGAUUUUUUGGUUUAACAUUAAUGUUAAUAGCAAGUGUUGGUGCUGGUUUAUUAUUUACAAUUAUGGUAUGGAUUGAUUCACAUACAUGGAUUUACAUAAGAAAACGAAGAGAUUAUCACCAAGUUGAUGAACAGGAUCCAUAUUUACCACCAUCAGCAGCAUCACAAGCAAUUGCAGCAAGGACACUUCGUGGCCAAGGGUCGUACCCGCCUACAGCCCCUCCUCUUAAUCAGAAUGCUCAUGAGGUGGGGGGAUUAACGGAAAUGGAGGAACAAUUGAUCACAAAUCGGCUCAGCAUAAUCAGCACGCUACGAGUGGACGAGGUGAGCACAGAUCUGGACUCGGAGAUCAACCUGGUCAGUACGCAACUUUAAGUAAACAGUGCAAAACACUUGAAUCCAGUGAUUUUUACUGAGGGCACGCCCCCUCGGGACCCGGUAGAGAACCACCUUGGACUCCCAGUGUGGCAUCAUUUACUGGUACGAUAUCUCAUAAUUCUCAUGGACCGGCACAUUUAGCAACAUUUCAAGACUCACGUAAAACUCAAACACUUGAUCCAAAAAAUUUGGCAAAUUUAAAACGUGGACCAACACAAGCAUGGAAUCAAAAUCGUCCAUUACCACCAAAUCCAACAAAUCAACCAACAUGGGAAUUUGAAUCACGUUCACAAACAAAUAUGAAUCAAUUUCGUUCAUUAGUACGUAAUAAAACAUCAAACAUUCGUAUACAAGAUCAAAUGCAAGAUCAAGUACGUACAUUAGAUAGAAAUUUUAAUCGUGGACAAUAUAAUAAUCAUAAUAAUAAUAAUAACAGUAAUAAUAAUAAUAUGACAAAUGGUAAUGGUGUACCAAAUAUGUAUGGUACAUAUAAUCGUUCACAUAAUCGUCAAGAUAAAGCAUCAGCUGUGCCAACAUUGAGUCAGGUGCAAGGAAGUGAUCCAAAUCUCUAUGCAGUCACGGAAUUGUAAAAAUAAUAACAAUACACAUACACACACAUGAAUAUUUAAUAUUUAAAACAACAAAAAAAAUAAAUAUCAAAUGAGUUAAAAUAAUAAUAAUAAUGAUUAUGAAAAAAAAAAGAAUGUUAAUACGUAGCCGAAGAAUGAAAAACCAAAGCAAGAGAGUAAUGAGAAAAAAAAAACAAAAUAAUAAUUAAAGAAACAAAACAAAAAAAAGUUGAAGAAAGAUAUUUGAGUACUUGAAACUUUUUUAAAAAAAACGAGGGGGCGAAAUAAAUUGGUUUUAUUUUAUUUUUCUUUGAAUAAUUGGGAUUGAUAAGAAAAAGUAAGCUUUGAAUUGAAAAUUAUAAUAAUAUUUUUUAUUUUCUAUGCUGAUUUAUAAUUACGUUUUAGUUGUUGUCUUUUUAAUUGUAAUAUUUUGUUUAAUUAUAUUUUUUUGCGUUUGAUUUAUUUGAUAUGCAAAAAAAGACAAAUUUUAAAUAUCGCUAAUGAUUUAAAUAUUUUUUUUUUUUUUUUUACAUCACAAAAAGAAUGAAAGAAAAUUUAAAAAAAAAAUGAAAAAAUAUGAAAAUUAAUUUGAGCACAAAUUUGACGACAACUAUUACAUUUAAUGUGAGAGGGAUACCAAAAGACACACACAUUUUUCAAUUUCAUAUAAAUUUUAAUUUUUCAUUAUUAAAUACAAAAUUGCGCAAUUUUUUAAUGUCAAUAUAAUAUUUGUGAAUAAUAAUUUUAUAAUUAUUUUAAAUAUUCAAAGAAUCUCAUGAAUAUUUUAACAACAAAAAUAAAAUAAAAUAAAAGUACUACAAUUGCAAAAUGUUAAUUAAGUAGAUUUAAAAUAAAGAAAAAAAAAAAAACUGCCAUCAAGAUUCUUUAGCAAACAUGAAAAACCAACAAAAUAAAUUAAAAUGUUUUUAAAAAACAUUAUCAUUUUAUAUUUUUCUCUUCGUACUUAUUGAAAUAAAUAAAUAAACAUCACUUGGGAUUAAUAAAACAUCAUCAACAUAAUUUAAAAAAAUAAAAACAACGAAGUCAUUAUGACGAAAUGGGUCAAUAAUCCGAAAUAUUAAAAAUGGCAUAAUUCUGUACAUAAGUAGUUAAAAAAUAUAAGGUUUAUUAAUUAGACGGUGUAAAGUGUGAUAAUAUUAAUCAUCAAUGUUCUCUCGAGAUGAUAGUUUUAAAGAAAUAAAAAAAAAAAAAUUAAUAAAAAAAAAAACAGUGCCAUUC